GCCAUCAUGUCUCAGAGGUUGAGCAUUGGUCCUGUAAACCAGGGGGCGUGAGUUCGAACUUCAAUGGUAGUU
Nephila pilipes (giant wood spider) is the source of this 72-nucleotide non-coding RNA. NCBI's taxonomy places the organism in Eukaryota, Metazoa, Arthropoda, Arachnida, Araneae, Nephilidae. The record is from the annotation of a GenBank genome assembly.